CUUAGUGUCAGGGAUUUAGAAAAAUUUUUGCUCGGUCCAGCCCAUAGUUAGUUAAUUCGGAUUCGGCAAAAAUUCAGUACGGAUAUUAUAUGCAUAAAAUUUAUUUUCUAAUUUUUAAAUUCGUUGAAAAUUUCGGCUUAAAAAACGGCUUCGAUAUAAAAUAUAAAAUAUAAGAUAUAAAAUAUAAGAUAAUUUAUAUUUAAAAAUAAAAAUUAUAAGUUUUUUAUUCAUAUUUUCAAUAAUUCGGCAAUAAUUCGCGAAUUAUUUGCGAAUAAUUCAGCUGGCCCAAAGAUUGGUGAAUAAUUCACUUUCUUUAAGAAAAAUUCGUAAACGAACCGUUUAAUUCGGAUUUUUAAUAAUUCGCGCAUAAUUCGCGAAUUUACUAACUAGGGUCCAGCCCAACUUCAUAAGUUGAAACGUGCUGUCGAGAAAGCCUGAUUUCAGUCUUUUUGUGGGAGAAGAAGGGUCACAAAACUGUUGCCAUCAAGCCUCCAAAACUGUCAGAAAAAAUCUAAA
This 516-nucleotide long non-coding RNA is filed under the name Ananas comosus (pineapple). RNAcentral's name for it is "long non-coding RNA (ACOM_LNC036595)". Lineage: Eukaryota; Viridiplantae; Streptophyta; Magnoliopsida; Poales; Bromeliaceae. The record is from RNAcentral.